CAUUAGCCGCGGUAAUACAGAGGGUGCGAGCGUUAAUCGGAUUUACUGGGCGUAAAGCGUGCGUAGGCGGCUUUUUAAGUCGGAUGUGAAAUCCCUGAGCUUAACUUAGGAAUUGCAUUCGAUACUGGGAAGCUAGAGUAUGGGAGAGGAUGGUAGAAUUCCAGGUGUAGCGGUGAAAUGCGUAGAGAUCUGGAGGAAUACCGAUGGCGAAGGCAGCCAUCUGGCCUAAUACUGACGCUGAGGUACGAAAGCAUGGGGAGCAAACAGGAUUAGAUACCCCAGUAGUCCCUGUCUCUUAUAC
RNAcentral lists this ribosomal RNA (301 nucleotides) under uncultured bacterium. RNAcentral describes it as "partial 16S ribosomal RNA". It matches the Rfam family "Bacterial small subunit ribosomal RNA", at positions 509 to 807 of the family's 1533-position model. The record is from RNAcentral.